Non-coding RNA from Nerophis lumbriciformis (worm pipefish), 73 nucleotides. The record is from the annotation of a RefSeq genome assembly. Lineage: Eukaryota; Metazoa; Chordata; Actinopteri; Syngnathiformes; Syngnathidae.
GUUUCCAUGGUGUAGCAGUUAUCACGUUUGCCUUACGCGCAAAAGGUCCCCACUUCGAAACUGGGUGGAAACA